Non-coding RNA from Sturnus vulgaris (Common starling), 246 nucleotides. Lineage: Eukaryota; Metazoa; Chordata; Aves; Passeriformes; Sturnidae. The record is from RefSeq and is a predicted model, not a curated record.
AGUGCAGCCUUUGUCCUCGUCGGGUUCUUUGAAGAUUGAGCUGAUAGAAGUCACAGUGUAAAUGGACUUAACUGCUGAGUGACCUUUGACAAAGCCAGGAUCUCGCUCUGGACAACCACCUGUGAGGGACUAAGAAAGCAGCUGAGACUGCUCCUGGGGUUUUAGGCAACAGGAAACUCUGGGAAGGAGGCUGAUGUCACCUGGCUGUUUGUUUCUGGAAGCAGAGAGCACAUUUUCAACAGGAUC